Clupea harengus (Atlantic herring) is the source of this 775-nucleotide long non-coding RNA. The record is from Ensembl. NCBI's taxonomy places the organism in Eukaryota, Metazoa, Chordata, Actinopteri, Clupeiformes, Clupeidae.
CACAUCUAGAGACUGAGAGAAGCAGGAAGCUCCAAUCUCAGAUCCACUCUCACAGGCUUCCCCCUCCAUCUUAACAUCAAGAAAGGCUGAGUGGACCCUGCGGUACUCUAAAACCUCUCGCUGAAGGAGCUAUCUGUAGUCCGGACACCAGGCGUUUACAAUCAGUACUGCAUUCCAAAUUCAAGAUAUUGGAGAGCAGUGUCCCCUCCCUCCCUCCACCUCCCCUCCGGACUCGAAGCUCCUGUGGGUUGCCAGGUUGAGGACACUGAACCAGACUCGAAGCUUCUGCGGGUUGCCAGGUUGAGGACGCUGAACCUACAUGAAGGAGCGCAAGACAAGCUCGACAUUAAACUUUGACAAUGAGUAAUCACUUCCUUGUUUGCAGCCCGAUGCAGAUCUCAGUUACGACGGGCCUUCAUCAGGGUCGAGUGAAGCCAGUGAGGGUGGUCAGGUGCCGCUGAUACGAGAGGCAGAGGGCAGAGAGGAUGAGCUAGAGAGAGGAGGAGGAGGAGGAGGAGCAGAGAGUGCGGGUCCCAGUGGUACAAGAGGCAGAGGAUCUAGAGGAAGAGCAACAGAGAGAAGAGAGAGUGCAGGUCCUGCAUGCCUCAAGUUAACAUGACUGAAUUCCAUGAGGUCAGUGAUUAAAAUCUGUGAUCUGUUCGAGGAAGAGCCAGAGGAAAAACGACAGAGACGCUGUUUAACGCUGGCGAAAGUUGACCACAUUCAUUGAUUCAUCUGUCCGUUGACUAAAUUAAAUAAAGUCCUCUAAAACGGG